UGGGGUUCCCUCCAAACACUUCA
This 23-nucleotide microRNA is filed under the name Brachypodium distachyon (stiff brome). Its description in RNAcentral is "bdi-miR395d-5p". Its record names the gene bdi-miR395d-5p. Lineage: Eukaryota; Viridiplantae; Streptophyta; Magnoliopsida; Poales; Poaceae. The record is from miRBase by way of RNAcentral.